UACGGGGGGGGGUAAGCGUUGUUCGGAAUUACUGGGCGUAAAGGGCUCGUAGGCGGCCAACUAAGUCAGACGUGAAAUCCCUCAGCUUAACUGGGGAACUGCGUCUGAUACUGGAUGGCUUGGAUUCGGGAGAGGAAUGCGGAAUUCCAGGUGUAGCGGUGAAAUGCGUAGAUAUCUGGAGGAACACCGGUGGCGAAGGCGGCAUUCUGGACCGAUAUUGACGCUGAGGAGCGAAAGCCAGGGGAGCAAACGGG
Molecule: ribosomal RNA, 254 nt
Filed under: uncultured bacterium
Lineage: Bacteria
Description: partial 16S ribosomal RNA
Rfam family: Bacterial small subunit ribosomal RNA
Source: RNAcentral